This is a long non-coding RNA of Epinephelus fuscoguttatus (brown-marbled grouper), 406 nucleotides long. RefSeq lists it as uncharacterized. Lineage: Eukaryota; Metazoa; Chordata; Actinopteri; Perciformes; Serranidae. The record is from RefSeq and is a predicted model, not a curated record. The transcript has 4 exons.
CAGAUAGGACCCCUGGGGGUGGGCAUGGCCAUGCUGGUGUUGUCUAUACAGAUGCCUGAACGGGAUGGAGAGAGACGAGUGAGGGUCCUGACACAGCCGGAGAGGGUCUUUGACUGUCUUUACAAGAUGAUGUCUAAAUACCACUACAUCCACCACUCAGGGAGUCGGGCCUUGAGUGAAGGUGGAAGAGGAACACAGUUUGGCCAGCGGCUGCAAUUUGGCCGCAACGCAAACACGACUGUCUAGAAGUUUCAGUGACAAGUUUGAAUUCAGGGUUCAUUACCAAGUGUCUGCCCCCAUCCCAGAGCCAAACGGAGGUGACUCAAACCCAAGUGGGUCUUCAUUUUCUGGAUGGCUGUUGCCAUGGUUACCGGCUCAUCCAAAACACUAAGUCGCCCUUGGCCAU